RNAcentral lists this ribosomal RNA (460 nucleotides) under uncultured bacterium. RNAcentral describes it as "partial 16S ribosomal RNA". It matches the Rfam family "Bacterial small subunit ribosomal RNA", at positions 338 to 795 of the family's 1533-position model. The record is from RNAcentral.
CCUACGGGAGGCAGCAGUGAGGAAUAUUGGUCAAUGGCCGGAAGGCUGAACCAGCCAUGCCGCGUGAAGGUCAGUGCCCUAUGGGCGUUAAACUUCUUUUGUGCGGGAGCAAUAAUGGUCACGUGUGGCCAGACGAGAGUACCGUACGAAUAAGCAUCGGCUAACUCCGUGCCAGCAGCCGCGGUAAUACGGGGGAUGCAAGCGUUAUCCGGAUUUAUUGGGUUUAAAGGGUGCGUAGGCUGUGAGGUAAGUCAGCGGUGAAAUGCCCCCGCUCAACGGGGUGAAGUGCCAUUGAUACUGCCUUGCUGGAAUGCGGAUGCCGUGGGAGGAAUGUGUGGUGUAGCGGUGGAAUGCAUAGAUAUCACACAGAACACCGAUUGCGAAGGCAUCUCACGAAUCCGCGAUUGACGCUGAUGCACGAAAGCGUGGGUAUCAAACAGGAUUAGAUACCCCAGUAGUC